Molecule: ribosomal RNA, 882 nt
Filed under: Lachnum virgineum
Lineage: Eukaryota; Fungi; Ascomycota; Leotiomycetes; Helotiales; Lachnaceae
Description: partial large subunit ribosomal RNA
Rfam family: Eukaryotic large subunit ribosomal RNA
Source: RNAcentral
CAACAGGGAUUACCUCAGUAACGGCGAGUGAAGCGGUAACAGCUCAAAUUUGAAAUCUGGCUCUUUCAGGGUCCGAGUUGUAAUUUGUAGAAGAUGCUUUGGGUGUGGCCCUGGUCUAAGUUCCUUGGAACAGGACGUCAUAGAGGGUGAGAAUCCCGUAUGUGACUAGGUGCUUUCGCCCGUGUAAAGCUCUUUCGACGAGUCGAGUUGUUUGGGAAUGCAGCUCAAAAUGGGUGGUAAAUUUCAUCUAAAGCUAAAUAUUGGCCAGAGACCGAUAGCGCACAAGUAGAGUGAUCGAAAGAUGAAAAGCACUUUGGAAAGAGAGUUAAACAGUACGUGAAAUUGUUGAAAGGGAAGCGCUUGCAACCAGACUUGGUUGCGGCCGAUCAUCUAGGGUUCUCCCUGGUGCACUCGGUCGUAACUAGGCCAGCAUCGGUUUGGGUGGUGGGAUAAAGGCCUUGGGAAUGUAGCUUCUUUCGGGGAGUGUUAUAGCCCUCGGUGCAAUGCCGCCUACCUGGACCGAGGACCGCGCUUCGGCUAGGAUGCUGGCGUAAUGGUUGUAAGCGACCCGUCUUGAAACACGGACCAAGGAGUCUAACAUCUAUGCGAGUAUUUGGGUGUUAAACCCAUAUGCGUAAUGAAAGUGAACGGAGGUGAGAACCCUUAAGGGUGCAUCAUCGACCGAUCCUGAUGUCUUCGGAUGGAUUUGAGUAAGAGCAUAGCUGUUGGGACCCGAAAGAUGGUGAACUAUGCCUAAAUAGGGUGAAGCCAGAGGAAACUCUGGUGGAGGCUCGCAGCGGUUCUGACGUGCAAAUCGAUCGUCAAAUUUGGGUAUAGGGGCGAAAGACUAAUCGAACCAUCUAGUAGCUGGUUCCUGCGACU